CCAUGCAUGUCUAAGCAUCAGCGAAUGUACUGUGAAACUGCGAAUGGCUCAUUAAAUCAGUUAUGGUUUAUUUGAUGGAUCCCUACUACUUGGAUACCCGUAGUAAUUCUAGAGCUAAUACAUGCAGGAAUCCCCCACUCUCGGGAGGGGGUGUUUAUAUAAUAAAAAACCCAUCCGCCUCGGCGGUUGUGUGCUGAGUUAUAAAAACUGUUGGAAUCGCAUGGCUUUGCGUUGGGGAUGGUACAUUCCAUUUUCUGCCCUAUCAUCUUUCCAUGGUAUGAUAGAGGCCUACCCUGGCGUGUACGGGAAACGGAAAAUUAAGGUUCGAUUCCGGAGAGGGAGCCUGAGAAAUGGCUACCCUAUCCCAUGAAGGGAGCAGGGGCGUAAAUUGCCCAAAUCCUGACACAGGGAGGAAGGGACAAAAAAUAACUAUACAGGGCCAGCUUGCUCUUGCAAGUGUAAUGAGUACAAUUUACCUCUCUCCACUAGGAUCGAUUGGAGGGCAAGCAUGGGGGCAGCUGCCACGGGAAUUCCUUCUCCAUCACCUAAUAUAAAUUCUGGUGCUGCCAAAACGCUCGCUCGCGGAUUUCUGGGCGGGCCUGCCGGCCUGCCCUUCGGUACGUGCUGGAGUGCGCGUCCUUCCUUUCGGAGACCGCGCCUCCUCUUUUCUGUGCGGGCGCGGGAGACGGAUCGACUUACUUUGAAUCACUCUGAGUGGUUCUCACCGAUAGUCCAUGCAUGUCUAAGCAUCAGCGAAUGUACUGUGAAACUGCGAAUGGCUCAUUAAAUCAGUUAUGGUUUAUUUGAUGGAUCCCUACUACUUGGAUACCCGUAGUAAUUCUAGAGCUAAUACAUGCAGGAAUCCCCCACUCUCGGGAGGGGGUGUUUAUAUAAUAAAAAACCCAUCCGCCUCGGCGGUUGUGUGCUGAGUUAUAAAAACUGUUGGAAUCGCAUG
RNAcentral lists this ribosomal RNA (955 nucleotides) under Ochrosphaera verrucosa. Its description in RNAcentral is "SSU rRNA". It matches the Rfam family "Eukaryotic small subunit ribosomal RNA", at positions 49 to 894 of the family's 1831-position model. The record is from RNAcentral. Lineage: Eukaryota; Haptophyta; Coccolithales; Hymenomonadaceae.